AGCGCAGGCGGGAUAGCAAGUCAGCUGUGAAAACUAUGGGCUCAACCCAUAAACUGCAGUUGAAACUGUUAUUCUUGAGUGGAGUAGAGGCAAGCGGAAUUCCGAGUGUAGCGGUGAAAUGCGUAGAUAUUCGGAGGAACACCAGUGGCGAAGGCGGCUUGCUGGGCUCUAACUGACGCUGAGGCUCGAAAGGUGUGGGAGCAAACA
This 207-nucleotide ribosomal RNA is filed under the name uncultured bacterium. RNAcentral's name for it is "partial 16S ribosomal RNA". It matches the Rfam family "Bacterial small subunit ribosomal RNA", at positions 568 to 774 of the family's 1533-position model. The record is from RNAcentral.